Passer montanus (Eurasian tree sparrow) is the source of this 1467-nucleotide long non-coding RNA. RefSeq lists it as uncharacterized. The record is from RefSeq and is a predicted model, not a curated record. The transcript is spliced from 2 exons. NCBI's taxonomy places the organism in Eukaryota, Metazoa, Chordata, Aves, Passeriformes, Passeridae.
CUCGGCGGCUUCUCCUGAGGGGGGACUACUUGACGUGUCGGUGCGGCGAAUUUAUUUCCCUUUGCCUAAGGAACGGGCUGUGCUGCGGCCCCCAUUGCCUAGGGAAAAAGCCCGGAUGUAAAGAUGAAGAACAAAAACCAACCGCGGCGAGUCAGAAACUUUGGUGGGCAGGUCGAGAGCAGGGAAGUUGGCACGCCGGGGGUUAGGAGGUCCGUGCCGCACUCGCUGGCGUGCGGAUCGAACGGACGUGACUCGGGCGGCCCGGGCCCGCCGGGGCCCCCGUUCCCUGCCGCCGCCCCGGGAGCUGCUGCGGGCCGCUCAGUCCGGGCAGGGUCAGUCCUUAUCUGCAGUACGCUAGCUUAAGUUACAGGCAUGCCCCUGUGCGUCUCCGGCUUCUGAAGUCUCCAGAGUCUCAGAAAUACUUAAAGCCUCGCGUUUCUGUCGGAGCUACCAUUGCUAAAAGCAGUGGGACAUGUUCUGGACGGCGCGGGAUUUGUAUGAGCUCUCACGAAAAGCCGGGAUUUGAUGCAAUGCAAAACUGAUUUUUUUUUUUUUAUAUAUAUAGCCUCUUAUAUCACUUUAUUUCUUCGAAAUGCUCACAAGUUGUGAAGAAAAGUGUUUGCGUUGUCUCUGUAAAUGCUUCAGGAAGCCACGAUGAACUCUUUAUUACAUUGUGAAACUAAAUCCACAAUGCAGUCAUGAUGAGUAACUCGGGGACGAGUCGUAAUGGGGCAGAAACGGACAGUUUUAUCAUCUGGAGGAUUCUAGAGGGCUCAGCAUGAGUGAGAACGUACAGCGAGGUUUCCUCUCAACUGUGAAAAAAAGAGAUAUAUACGCCAUUGUUUAUUUAAUUACUAUUAAUUUUCCACUUCUUUUCCAUCAAUUGGUUGCAAGUUCUGUGUGAUUUAAUUGGAAACUUUACAACAUUUAGUGCCCUUCUUAAAGCUGUAGCUCCUGGACUCAUACAAUUAUGCAAGAAACUUAGCCUUAUUUUUUUUAAAUGAAGUUUCUAGCCUGUGAGUUUGUGGAUGUGACCUUAAAGACACAAACUUUAAAUGCACACAAAGGAAAAGAUAUGAAGCAAAUAGAGUAAUCUAAAAAUGCUUUUAUUUUUUUAGUCAUGUUGUUUGGGUUUUUGUUUUUGAGGCAAUCUCUCCUACCCUGUUUUUUUGUCCUUUUUUCUUUUUUUUUUUUUUCUGCAAGCCAGGUAUGAUGUUAAACCAUAGGGUUGACAGAAUACUAAGAAAAGGAAAACACAGAAAUUAUAUCUGGGUCUCAUCAAAUAGUUACUGAUAGGUGCACAGUUCAUGGGAUAUCAGGUAAGGUCAUGUGCACAAGACCACCAAAAAUCCAGCAGCCAUCACAGUAGAACUUUCCAUGUAUCCAACUGUAACAAGAAGUGUUAUGGUUAGUAUAACUGAGAUAUUAGAUAUUACACCAUUUCUAAUAAAUAUAUAUUUGCUUUUU